GAUGGUGUGCCUGCCAUUCUCUACUUAUAGUCGUCGGAUCUUCAUCGAACGCACAGGAAGCGAUCUGUGGCAAUUUUGCAAAAAACCGCCCGUCACUCCAUCAACAUUUGCAGACAACCCCUCCAGCCUCAUCUCUCCCACUCAGCCUCAUUACUCCCCCCGACUCAUCCAGCCAUCUGAAAAGGGGCGCCGUGCAACCACCGGCCGACAGCAUCGGAGUCCAUCUGGCGCGGUGGCCGCUGCCGGCGAUGUCCACCGCCACCACGACCCCAGCCCAUCUGUCCCGUUCUACUCUCUCUUCCCCACCUUAUCCAGCCAUCUCCAAAGAAAAGGAAAAUGGCGGCACCGUGAGAACCACCGCCGGCAGAGGUGGAAUCGAUCUAGCGAUGUGGCCGCUGCCUGCGCCGUACAAUCCCAGCCUCUCUUAUGCCUUAUCUCAGCCCCACCGCCCACCGCCACCACGAUCCCAUCCUCGUCGCCGUCUGCUCCGCCCGCUCCCUUGUCUCCUCCGACCCUGACCGACGCAGGUCCGCCGCCGAUGCUUCUUCUGCCUCUUUUUCUGCCGCAGAGUUCCCACCAACCACCAACCACUAUCGCCACCACCUCCCCCUCGUUGAUGUCUCGUCCGCCCCUUCCCCUUAUCCUGCAACGCAGACUGCCAUAGGUACGCCGGCAGAACUGUCUAGAAAGUAGAAACACUCUUCCAGGCCAAUAUAUAUCAAAUUUUCUGUCAUCCAGAGUUCAAAUCCGUGCGCCAAUGUGGAGCUGUCUAGAAACUACUCUUGCAGACAAAUAUAAAGCAAAUGGGCAGGCCUAUGGGACUCACGCUGCUGCACCCAGAGGAGCCAGAAGCUGGUCACGCCAAUCUUCAGAUUGAAUGGAUUGUGAGGACUUCGCCUUCUGGUCCAAAAGAUACUAACAGAAAUUAAAAGUCGUCAGGAAAAACCCUUGGAUUUUGGUGUGAGACUGAAGAACCACAAGGUGACAAGAUGGAUGGAGCCCGAGCUCGAAGGCCAACAUUGUUAGCAGAGAUGUUUUGGGCAAACAACUAAAAGAAGGGUAUACUAUGCUUGACACACAUGAUUCCGUGGCCUGAUAGAUGCCUAAGGUAUGUAACUAAGUAAUUGGAACUAACUGUAUGAGUCAUGCCUAAGGUAUGCUUGACACACAUGCCUAAGGUAUGCUUGACACACAUGAUUUCAUGGUCUGAUAGACUUGGGCUUCCACUGUACGACACAAGUGGAGAUGACUCUGUUUUUUGACCAUGAUCUUGAGAGGUACAACUUUAUCUAUGUAUCCAUAUCUAUACUUUCUCUCUAGAUGUCAUAAGCAUGGUUCCCCACAUCCAACAUAUGUUUCAGAAUCAUUUUUUACUACCCGCCAAAAAAGGAAUCAUCGUUUACUUUAUUAAUUCCUACCAUUUGUCUUCACAUUUAAGUCUUGUUUGCCUAAUAUACUGCGAAAUCAGCAUUGUUGAAUCCUUGGAUAAAGGUAACAAUAUAUAUUGUUUUAUUUUCUACAGUUGUUCCAAGGAAAACAACAGUUCUGUUGCAAUAGUUCUUUUAAGGUUGUACAUGAUAGUAUGUACCCGGAGAACGCAGGCCGUGCCGGUGAUUUGGGAGAUUUGGCGUGAGCGCAAUUGCCGCAUUUUUCACAAUUUGGAUUCGUCGGCUGCUAUGCUUACAUGCCUUGUCGUUGACGAAGCCAAUGUUGGAAGGAGGCCGACACACCACACAUCAUUUUGUGAUAGUAAUCUAGCUUAGUGGCCCCUCUCAAUUCUGUGUUUUCUCAUUUGCUUUACAUGUGUUUGUACAUUACUCGCUCCUAUCAAUGAAAUCAAUAGCUCUGCUAUUAGGCUUAAGAAAAAACUGUCUUGGAGCUCAGUUGUUGCCUCUGUCAGAUAUUUGCACUGUAUGAACAAACUGCUAUGUGGACAGAUUUUCUAUUUGUCAUAUGCUCUUUGUCCCCUUAAUAUGGGAGAGCCAUGAGAAAAUUGGGUAGGAAGAACCAAAGUCUUCUGCAAGGUGAAAAUUGAGGGGGGUUUAUGUUGGAAACCUUAUGUUUCAUUUUGCUCGAUGUACCUGUCAACAAUAUGGCAUCAUCACUUUGAUCAAUGUUUUGGUACAUCUUUUAUUGUUUACUAGACUCGUGACACUGAG
Molecule: ribosomal RNA, 2159 nt
Filed under: Triticum aestivum (bread wheat)
Lineage: Eukaryota; Viridiplantae; Streptophyta; Magnoliopsida; Poales; Poaceae
Description: partial small subunit ribosomal RNA
Source: RNAcentral